Molecule: ribosomal RNA, 240 nt
Filed under: uncultured bacterium
Lineage: Bacteria
Description: partial 16S ribosomal RNA
Rfam family: Bacterial small subunit ribosomal RNA
Source: RNAcentral
CAGCUCGUGUCGUGAGAUGUUGGGUUAAGUCCCGCAACGAGCGCAACCCUUAUCUUUAGUUGCCAGCAUUCAGUUGGGCACUCUAGAGAGACUGCCGUCGACAAGACGGAGGAAGGCGGGGAUGACGUCAAAUCAUCAUGCCCCUUAUGACCUGGGCUACACACGUGCUACAAUGGUUGGUACAACGGGACGCUACCUCGCGAGAGGACGCCAAUCUCUUAAAACCAAUCUCAGUUCGGA